GUGCUCACUUCGGCAGCGCAUAUGGUAACAUUGGAACAAUAUGGAGAAGAUAGAUCAAUGUGGCCCCUGUGCAAGGAUGACAUGCAAUUCAUGAAGCGGUCCAUAUUUUU
Molecule: small nuclear RNA, 110 nt
Organism: Cervus elaphus (red deer)
Lineage: Eukaryota; Metazoa; Chordata; Mammalia; Artiodactyla; Cervidae
Source: RefSeq, a predicted model, not a curated record